CAGGUGGUCAGGUAGAGAAUACCAAGGCGCUUGAGAGAACUCGGGUGAAGGAACUAGGCAAAAUGGUGCCGUAACUUCGGGAGAAGGCACGCUGACACGUAGGUGAAGUGGUUUACCCAUGGAGCUGAAGUCAGUCGAAGAUACCAGCUGGCUGCAACUGUUUAUUAAAAACACAGCACUGUGCAAACACGAAAGUGGACGUAUACGGUGUGACGCCUGCCCGGUGCCGGAAGGUUAAUUGAUGGGGUCAGCGCAAGCGAAGCUCCUGAUCGAAGCCCCGGUAAACGGCGGCCGUAACUAUAACGGUCCUAAGGUAGCGAAAUUCCUUGUCGGGUAAGUUCCGACCUGCACGAAUGGCGUAAUGAUGGCCAGGCUGUCUCCACCCGGGACUCAGUGAAAUUGAACUCGCUGUGAAGAUGCAGUGUACCCGCGGCAAGACGGAAAGACCCCGUGAACCUUUACUAUAGCUUGACACUGAACACUGGUCCUUGAUGUGCAGGAUAGGUGGGAGGCUUUGAAGUGUGGACGCCAGUCUGCAUGGAGCCGACCUUGAAAUACCACCCUUUAAUGGCUGGUGUUCUAACGUGGGCCCCUGACCGGGGUUGCGGACAGUGUCUGGUGGGUAGUUUGACUGGGGCGGUCUCCUCCUAAAGAGUAACGGAGGAGCACGAAGGUUGGCUAAUCCUGGUCGGACAUCAGGAGGUUAGUGCAAUGGCAUAAGCCAGCUUGACUGCGAGCGUGACGGCGCGAGCAGGUGCGAAAGCAGGUCAUAGUGAUCCGGUGGUUCUGAAUGGAAGGGCCAUCGCUCAACGGAUAAAAGGUACUCCGGGGAUAACAGGCUGAUACCGCCCAAGAGUUCAUAUCGACGGCGGUGUUUGGCACCUCGAUGUCGGCUCAUCACAUCCUGGGGCUGAAGUAGGUCCCAAGGGUAUGGCUGUUCGCCAUUUAAAGUGGUACGCGAGCUGGGUUUAGAACGUCGUGAGACAGUUCGGUCCCUAUCUGCCGUGGGCGCUGGAAGAUUGAGGGGGGCUGCUCCUAGUACGAGAGGACCGGAGUGGACGCAUCACUGGUGUUCGGGUUGUCAUGCCAAUGGCACUGCCCGGUAGCUACAUGCGGAAGAGAUAAGUGCUGAAAGCAUCUAAGCACGAAACUUGCCCCGAGAUGAAUCUUCCCUGAGCCUUUAAGGCUCCUGAAGGAACGUUGAAGACGACGACGUUGAUAGGCCGGGUGUGUAAGCGCAGCGAUGCGUUGAGCUAACCGGUACUAAUGAACCGUGAGGCUUAACCUUACAACGCCGAA
Molecule: ribosomal RNA, 1299 nt
Filed under: Salmonella enterica
Lineage: Bacteria; Pseudomonadati; Pseudomonadota; Gammaproteobacteria; Enterobacterales; Enterobacteriaceae
Description: partial 23S ribosomal RNA
Rfam family: Bacterial large subunit ribosomal RNA
Source: RNAcentral